Molecule: unclassified non-coding RNA, 247 nt
Filed under: fungal sp.
Lineage: Eukaryota; Fungi
Description: partial internal transcribed spacer region
Rfam family: Eukaryotic small subunit ribosomal RNA (bases 1-46)
Source: RNAcentral
AAGUCGUAACAAGGUUUCCGUAGGUGAACCUGCGGAAGGAUCAUUAUCAAUGAUAUCCAUCAUACACCGUGAACUUUAUGAACUGUCUUUGGGGAUUUUGUAGCCUCUUACUAUUUGUAGCCUUACUAAGGUUUCACCUACUAAGGUGUUUCAAGUCCCCAAUAAAUCAACACAACCUUACAACUUAUAGCAGAGUCAAUUAUUAAAUUAAUUUAGACAACUUUUAGCAACGGAUCUCUAGGUUCUC